This 1000-nucleotide ribosomal RNA is filed under the name Glutamicibacter nicotianae. Its description in RNAcentral is "bacterial SSU rRNA". It matches the Rfam family "Bacterial small subunit ribosomal RNA", at positions 33 to 1043 of the family's 1533-position model. The record is from RNAcentral. Lineage: Bacteria; Bacillati; Actinomycetota; Actinomycetes; Micrococcales; Micrococcaceae.
GCGGGGGUGGCGGGCGGGCUGACACAUGCAAGUCGAACGAUGAAGCCCAGCUUGCUGGGUGGAUUAGUGGCGAACGGGUGAGUAACACGUGAGUAACCUGCCCCCGACUCUGGGAUAAGCCCGGGAAACUGGGUCUAAUACCGGAUAUGACCUCGCACCGCAUGGUGCGGGGUGGAAAGAUUUAUCGGUGGGGGAUGGACUCGCGGCCUAUCAGCUUGUUGGUGAGGUAAUGGCUCACCAAGGCGACGACGGGUAGCCGGCCUGAGAGGGUGACCGGCCACACUGGGACUGAGACACGGCCCAGACUCCUACGGGAGGCAGCAGUGGGGAAUAUUGCACAAUGGGCGCAAGCCUGAUGCAGCGACGCCGCGUGAGGGAUGACGGCCUUCGGGUUGUAAACCUCUUUCAGUAGGGAAGAAGCGAAAGUGACGGUACCUGCAGAAGAAGCGCCGGCUAACUACGUGCCAGCAGCCGCGGUAAUACGUAGGGCGCAAGCGUUAUCCGGAUUUAUUGGGCGUAAAGAGCUCGUAGGCGGUUUGUCGCGUCUGCCGUGAAAGUCCGAGGCUCAACCUCGGAUCUGCGGUGGGUACGGGCAGACUAGAGUGAUGUAGGGGAGACUGGAAUUCCUGGUGUAGCGGUGAAAUGCGCAGAUAUCAGGAGGAACACCGAUGGCGAAGGCAGGUCUCUGGGCAUUUACUGACGCUGAGGAGCGAAAGCAUGGGGAGCGAACAGGAUUAGAUACCCUGGUAGUCCAUGCCGUAAACGUUGGGCACUAGGUGUGGGGGACAUUCCACGUUUUCCGCGCCGUAGCUAACGCAUUAAGUGCCCCGCCUGGGGAGUACGGCCGCAAGGCUAAAACUCAAAGGAAUUGACGGGGGCCCGCACAAGCGGCGGAGCAUGCGGAUUAAUUCGAUGCAACGCGAAGAACCUUACCAAGGCUUGACAUGUGCCAGACCGCUCCAGAGAUGGGGUUUCCCUUCGGGGCUGGUUCACAGUGGUG